UCUGGAGAUCCAUGUAGAUUUGACAGAUUUAGAUGUUAAAGAGUACCAGACCCAAGAUGGACACGUGGGACACAACGCUCAUUAUGGGCUUCCACCUGGACAUAGAGCCACUGACCACAGCCCUCUGGCUGCAACCUUCCAACCAAUUCCUUUUUUACACCCUUCAAAUCCAUACCUCUCCAACUUAGAGAAAAGGAUGCAGAGGAGGACCAAGUCAAAGGCCUUGCAGAAGUCCAGGUAGGUGACAUCUGUUGCUCUCCCUUUGUCCACCGAUGCCAUCACUCCAUCAUAGUAGGCCACCAGAUUGAUCAGGCACAAACUUCCCUUGGUGAAGCCAGCUGUCUCGGAUCACUUGCUGUCUCACUCCAAUUUAUAGGAGGGAAAGGAGGUUCUUUAAUCUCUUUCACUUGCUUGUCCCUCAUGUGCCUUAACAUGUCUUUUAGUAGAAUCUGUUCCAUGAUCUUCUCAGGCACAGAUGAGGCUCAUGGGCCUGGAGUUCCCUAGGUCCUCCUUUUUCCCUUUCUUGUAAAUGGGAAUGAUGUGUUCAUUUGUCCAGUCCCUGGGGACUUCACCUGACAACCACAACUUUUCAAAUAUGAUGGAGAGCAGCUCAGCAACCACCUCAGCCAGCUGCCUUAGGACACUGGCGUGCAUGUCACCUGGACCCAUGGGCUUGUACACAUUCAGACUCAUUAGUUGGUCUCAGAGUUGGAGAGGUAUGAAACUUGCUUAUUAAAUUCAAUUUAGUCUUAGUAUAAGGUUUCUAGACCUUUUUUCCCCUUUUGUUUCAUUUAUAUCUUUCAUAAGAUCUAAAGAGGCAUUGUUUUCAGAUGGAAUUUCAUUUCACAGUAACAUAUCUUGAAGUAAGGAUAAUAGUAAAAUAAACAAGAUAGCAAACCACAAAUCAUUCCUUAGCCCAAGAUAAGGUGAAUCUAUACUAGUUGACUGGGACUAAGGAAGAUCUUUCCAUUUGCCAGAACAUUCACCCAAGUAUCCAUGUACACAAUUCAUUUCCA
Molecule: long non-coding RNA, 1016 nt
Organism: Gallus gallus (chicken)
Lineage: Eukaryota; Metazoa; Chordata; Aves; Galliformes; Phasianidae
Source: Ensembl